RNAcentral lists this ribosomal RNA (560 nucleotides) under uncultured bacterium. RNAcentral describes it as "bacterial SSU rRNA". It matches the Rfam family "Bacterial small subunit ribosomal RNA", at positions 55 to 663 of the family's 1533-position model. The record is from RNAcentral.
AUGCAAGUCGAACGCCCCGCAAGGGGAGUGGCAGACGGGUGAGUAACGCGUGGGAACAUACCCUUUCCUGCGGAAUAGCUCCGGGAAACUGGAAUUAAUACCGCAUACGCCCUACGGGGGAAAGAUUUAUCGGGGAAGGAUUGGCCCGCGUUGGAUUAGCUAGUUGGUGGGGUAAAGGCCUACCAAGGCGACGAUCCAUAGCUGGUCUGAGAGGAUGAUCAGCCACAUUGGGACUGAGACACGGCCCAAACUCCUACGGGAGGCAGCAGUGGGGAAUAUUGGACAAUGGGCGCAAGCCUGAUCCAGCCAUGCCGCGUGAGUGAUGAAGGCCUUAGGGUUGUAAAGCUCUUUCACCGGAGAAGAUAAUGACGGUAUCCGGAGAAGAAGCCCCGGCUAACUUCGUGCCAGCAGCCGCGGUAAUACGAAGGGGGCUAGCGUUGUUCGGAAUUACUGGGCGUAAAGCGCACGUAGGCGGAUAUUUAAGUCAGGGGUGAAAUCCCAGAGCUCAACUCUGGAACUGCCUUUGAUACUGGGUAUCUUGAGUAUGGAAGAGGUAAGUG